Molecule: long non-coding RNA, 2664 nt
Filed under: Sus scrofa (pig)
Lineage: Eukaryota; Metazoa; Chordata; Mammalia; Artiodactyla; Suidae
Description: lncRNA (ENSSSCG00025058565.1, ENSSSCG00055028967.1)
Source: RNAcentral
CCAUGGUUGCUCCGUAACUUUCCCUUAAAACUGGCUUUCCUGAGAGUGGGAUGGCAAGUGUGCUUUCUGGAAAGGGCUGUUACCACCACGAAAACCUUCCAGACCUCUGCCUUGAGAAAGAGACCACGAAAGGAAGACUUGAGGUUUUUACAUGACUCCAAAGACGCCCUUUACAAACGGUUGAGACGCAUUCAUCUACCGAGGGAAAUGGAUUAAAAAAAAAAAAAAAAUCGAGGGUGGCAAUGCCUGUGGUAAGUACUGGAAAAGCACAGAGGAAGGCACAUGGCAAAGGACGAUUAACUUCCUUGAGAAGAUUUGGUUUAUUUUCUCCUCCUGGAAGAAAAUGGCAGUAAAGCCGUCACCUCUCUUCCCUUCCAGCUCAUGGAGUUCCCAAAUAAAGAACCGGUCUGCUGGGCCACUGAAGAAACAAGGAGGAGACAGAAUCCUUUCUCCUGCUCGGCUCCUGGCUUCAGAUUCUUGGCUUGUGGGAGUGGAAUGCUGGCCAGAGCAGUCACUGGUUGGGGGUGGGGGGCUCUUCUGUCCAUCCAUCCACAUACAGGAUCCGAAAUCCCCACAGCUCAGGGGGAGGGGCUGAGGGCAGAUUGCUGGGGGCUGCGAGCCCGCUGAGUUCCAGGGGCAAAAGGGGAGAGAAGGCACCUGCCUUUGGUGAGUGCUGUGCCUGGCACCGUGCUGUGUGUCACAGCGCCUUGAACCUUGGCUCAGAAAUGCAAGUUAGAUACGCUUCACAUUUUACAGAUGAAGGAACUGAGACUCCGAAAAGCUAAGAGAUUUGCUCCAAUUCCAGCAGUCCUGCUGGGAUUUGAACCCAGGUCAGUAUGACUCCAAAACCCAGGUUCUAUCUCCUCCUACAAAGAGCAUGUCCUUGCUCACCCUACAGUCAUUACUGGUCGAGGUGACCUUAGUUUCCCACAAAAAGGCUAGAAAAUACGCUUAUUCAUCUUUAGCCUUAUGCUUUCAGACUCAUUCUUAAAAACCUUCUUUAGGUAAGUUAAGGACAAGAGGCAUGCGUUUUCAAAACACUACUAUCUUAGCGGUUUAUAAAAUGCUGUCACACAAUCAUCUCUUUGACACCUCAUCUCCCCCCUCGAUUUACAAGUGAAGAAGGUGAGGCUCAAGGUGGUUAAGUGACUUGCCCAAGGGAGAGAUUUGUUCAGUCAGAAAGAUGGGCCUGAUCCUUGUCUACUUUGCGUUCUGACUCGAAGAGGCGCAAGACAUAGGCUCAAGCGGGAGAUCUCACUAAAUUUCGUGUCAGAUCCUCCUCUUGGUAAUUUAACCCUGUCAUUCCUAGUUGUAUCCCUUUGGAAAACCACCACCAAGCCUUUCUCACUUGAGAUUUUUAUGCUAAAACGAUUCCCUGUACAAACCGCCUCAUUCUUUCCACGACCAACCAACCAACCAACUCAGCAAGGCUCCCCGAAGUGUGCACUGCACGUCUGGCCCUCGCCUCAUCCUCCAGGCGGCUCUAGCUGCCCUCCCAGUUAGAAUUUAUGCAGAUGUUCACAGGAUAGGCGGGGGCAAGGAAGGAGGUGGCUCUCUCGGUUGUCUGUUUAUCUCGUGAAUGUGCGGGCUCUCCUAGACCCUUUGUCUGCGAGGCCAGGUCCCAGUUAGGGUGCAGGGCUCCCCCAAAGGGAAGGACUAUUUCAGUUUUGUAAACACCGCCCUCCAAAAACCACUUGACAUAAAUGUUUCAUGGCUCGCCUCCGCGAGGCCGCGGCUGGAACACUCAGCUGUGAGGCUGUUUAUAUUUGUGGAACUCUCUUGAACAUUUGCUGCGGGUUUCAAACAGCUGCUCUGCUGAAGCUCUGGGGAUAGGAAGAUCAUGAAUAUUCAGGUGAAGCCACCAGAAUGAACAGCCGUUAAUAGAAUAAAUGCCUAAACAGUUGUGUAAGGCUUAUUAAGACCUAUUGGGGCUGAGAUAAUAAAUUCCCACUCUGACAUGUUGCAACUACUGUCGCUUAAACACUUUGGACCACCUCUUCCGAACUGGAGGAAAAAAUGAUGUUAGUUCUCCGCGCAAACACAAAGAAACACCUGGAAGCCUUGGCAAGGGAAUGAGAUUUGGCAGAGAUCUUUCCGUGGACCGGUGCAUCCUCAGGAAAACGAUGUGUCGUUCAUUGUUCGCGCUGUCAAGGUUACCUCAGUCGAUUACAGGCUGGAGUGGGCAUGGCUCUGGCACCCGACAGAAUCAGUCCCGACUCCAUCAGACUGCCGGACAUCAGCUGAGAGCCGACACCAACAUCUGGGGCACUGAACCCAGCCCUCUGCCCCCUCCCCCACCUCAGUACCCGUGGCCUGGACCGUCUCCCUUCUCAGCCCCUUCCCAUGUCGUAUCGGAGGGACCAAAUAUACACUAACCUUGGGUUCUUUUCUCUUCUGCUCCGCCAAUCCAUAGCAGGGAACAGAGGGCAAAGUUUGCCAAUGCAGACGUGACCUUUCCAAGGGGCAAUACCUAGUUCAUUAAAAAGUCCAUUGCAACGACCUACUGUUUAGCACAGGGAAAUUUACUUAAUAUUUUGUAAUAACCUAUAAGGGAAAAGGGUCGGAAAAAGACCAUGUAUAACCGAUGUACUUUGCUGUACACCUGAAAUUAACACAGCACUGUAAAUCGAGUAUACUUUAAAUAAACCAAAAUCCAUUGCUCAC